This 253-nucleotide ribosomal RNA is filed under the name uncultured bacterium. RNAcentral describes it as "partial 16S ribosomal RNA". It matches the Rfam family "Bacterial small subunit ribosomal RNA", at positions 524 to 776 of the family's 1533-position model. The record is from RNAcentral.
UACGUAGGGGGCUAGCGUUGUCCGGAAUCAUUGGGCGUAAAGCGCGUGUAGGCGGUCCGGUAAGUCCGCUGUGAAAGUCGGGGGCUCAACCCUCGGAUGCCGGUGGAUACUGUCGGGCUUGAGUACGGAAGAGGCGAGUGGAAUUCCAGGUGUAGCGGUGAAAUGCGUAGAUAUCUGGAGGAACACCGGUGGCGAAGGCGGCAUCCUGGACCGGCAUUGACGCUGAGGCGCGAAAGCCAGGGGAGCAAACGGG